Molecule: ribosomal RNA, 390 nt
Filed under: uncultured bacterium
Lineage: Bacteria
Description: bacterial SSU rRNA
Rfam family: Bacterial small subunit ribosomal RNA
Source: RNAcentral
AACGAACGCUGGCGGCGCGCCUAAUACAUGCAAGUCGAGCGAGAAGACGUAGCAAUACGUUUGUAAAGCGGCGAACGGGUGAGGAAUACAUGGGUAACCUACCCUCGAGUGGGGAAUAACUAGCCGAAAGGUUAGCUAAUACCGCGUACGCUCCUUGGACUUCGGUUCAGGGAGGAAAGCGAUACCGUGGGUAUCGCGCUCUUGGAUGGGCUCAUGUCCUAUCAGCUUGUUGGUGAGGUAACGGCUCACCAAGGCUUCGACGGGCAGCUGUUCUGAGAGGACGAUCAGCCACACUGGCACUGCGACACGGGCCAGACUCCUACGGGAGGCAGCAGUAAGGAAUAUUGCGCAAUGGGCGAAAGCCUGACGCAGCGACGCCGCGGUGGGGGA